GAUGAACGCUGGCGGCGUGCCUAAUACAUGCAAGUCGAGCGAACAGACGAGGAGCUUGCUCCUCUGACGUUAGCGGCGGACGGGUGAGUAACACGUGGAUAACCUACCUAUAAGACUGGGAUAACUUCGGGAAACCGGAGCUAAUACCGGAUAAUAUAUUGAACCGCAUGGUUCAAUAGUGAAAGACGGUUUUGCUGUCACUUAUAGAUGGAUCCGCGCCGCAUUAGCUAGUUGGUAAGGUAACGGCUUACCAAGGCAACGAUGCGUAGCCGACCUGAGAGGGUGAUCGGCCCCGCUGGAACUGAGACACGGUCCAGACUCCGACGGGAGGCAGCAGUAGGGAAUCUGCCGCAAUGGGCGAAAGCCUGACGGAGCAACGCCGCGUGAGUGAUGAAGGUCUUCGGAUCGUAAAACUCUGUUAUUAGGGAAGAACAAAUGUGUAAGUAACUAUGCACGUCUUGACGGUACCUAAUCAGAAAGCCACGGCUAACUACGG
Molecule: ribosomal RNA, 496 nt
Filed under: uncultured bacterium
Lineage: Bacteria
Description: partial 16S ribosomal RNA
Rfam family: Bacterial small subunit ribosomal RNA
Source: RNAcentral